Dreissena polymorpha is the source of this 2969-nucleotide long non-coding RNA. RefSeq lists it as uncharacterized. The record is from RefSeq and is a predicted model, not a curated record. The transcript has 4 exons. Lineage: Eukaryota; Metazoa; Mollusca; Bivalvia; Myida; Dreissenidae.
UGGAGGCCGUUUUAUCAAAAGAUCUUAGCAUGAUCUUACGUAAGAUUCGUAGGAUUUUGUCGUACGCUUAUCGUAAGUACUGCGUACCGUUUUAUCAAAGAAAUCGCAGCUAAAAUGUCGUAAGAUUUGUGCUUAAAGCUACGACUGGGUAAGACCACUCUUAGCGUUCGUAAACCUUCGUAAACAUGGCGGCCGCACGCGCUUUAAACGUUGGUCAACCAAGAGAGAUGAGAAUGUUUCGAGAAAGAAAGGAUUUAGCGAUCUCCGUGAUGGAGAAAUAUUGAUACUAUUGGACGUAUUUAUGUUUGAUAACGUUAAAUAUAUUCGUUAUAUCAUUCUCUGCAUUAAACGUCCAAGGGAAAUGAAAUUUGUGAUGUUUGGAUAAUUAAUUCGUUAAAUAGGUUCAUUGAGAUUAUGUCAAAAUGGCUUGGGUCAACACACACGACCGUCGACGCCUCUGUCUUUGUCCGUGAUUUGAAGACUUUUCUGGAAGAAAACCACAAGAGACACCUACUGGGGGAGUCCGGCUAUCAACAAUAGGUACAACAAUGCCCAGUCAAGUGUACUGUGGUUGAUAGGGCUUUUGGACUGCCAAAGAGUAGAUUUAGGUGUCCGCAUAAAACUGGCGGUUGUUUAUUCAUGAGACUCGAUGAGUGCUGUCAAGCAGUGGCUGCAUGAAUGCGCCUGCACAACUUAUGCAUAGAUUAGCAGGUGCCACUGCCUGAACAACUUACUUAGGCACAAGAAGUGGAUGACGUUGUGCACAGUCCACAACAGAACCAAAAUGCAGCUUAUAUGGACAACACAUCAUUAACUUAUUUAUGUAGUUGCUAUUUUAUGCUCACAUGUGCACGAAGUGCUAUAGGUGAGUCAAUGUGGUCAGUCUAUGUUCGGCGACAUGUGUUAAUAUUCAAUAUUUGACUCUUUGUUGAUGAAAGAUGGUCAUUAUGUUUCUGCUUAUGAUACAAAAUAACUUAAUAAGUUAAUGAUUUCUUGUCUAUGAGCUGCUGCAUUUCGGUGAAGUGUGGUCAACAUCUUUGUAAAAGUGUGGAUAUUGACAAUUUCUGCCGUUCUUUUUUGGAUUUUUUUCAUUAAAGACACACUUUUUACAAUAAGCAUUUAUGCAAUGCGUACGAUGAUUACAUGUUUCUUUUAUAGUAUAACAAAGUGAAAAUAAAUUCUACUCCUUUAUUUAAUUAUCUUUGUAACAUAACAAUACAGGGUUUUCUCCAACAACUCUACAGCUAGGGAACAAUGAAGUGGAACACUAUCUGAAAAUGAAAUACAUUUUAUGUUAAUAAAAUUUGUAUUUUUGUAAGACAAGUGAUGAAAUAAAAGGUUAACAUUGUAACAUAAAGAGAUGUGGUUUCUGUUUGUUCUUUAAAGAGCAUGUACUGUGUAUACUGCACAUCAGACAAGGUUCUGUUGGAACUAAUAGUUUCAUAUAAAAAAUUCUUGAGAAUGAAUUGUAUCAUUUAUGUAAAGAUGGAUUGUUGAUUCAUUAUUACACAUUCAUGAUCUACACUUCAUAAGUUAAUUUUAAUUUUCAUGGAACUCACAUCUUUUUUUUCUUACCCACUCAAAUGACUGGGCCUCACAUGCGCUGUUUCGCGGAUUUCCUAUAGUGAUUAUAUAUGAAUGAAUAUAACUCGUAAAAUAACAUAAGUAAUCCAAUAUGUUAUUUUAGCUUAUGUAUACUCGUUAAUUUAUUUUCUACAAGUCCAUGUAAAAAAAAAUAACUUUUUUGUAUUUACUAAAAAAAAAAUAUUCAAUUGAUUUUUACAAAUGGUAUUGUGAAAUGUGAUUUACCUUUUUUAUGCUCCCCCAAAAUAAAUUUUUUGGGGAGCAUAUAGUCACCGCUUCGUCUGUCCAUGCGUCUGUCUGUCCGUCCGUGCACAAUUUUUGUCCGGGCUAUUUCUCAGAAACUAAUGACCGGAAUUCAAUGAAACUUUAUGGGAAGCUUCACUACCAAGAGGAGAUGUGCAUAUUAUCAGCAGGUUCUGGUCGGAUGAUUUAUUACAGAGUUAUGGCCCUUUGAAAUUUUCCAUAAACUGUACAUAUAGUGCAAUUCUUGUCCGGGCUAUUUCUCAGCAACUAAUAACCGGAAUUCAAUGAAACUUUAUGGGAAGCUUCACGACCAAGAGGAGAUGUGCAUGUUAUCAGCGGAUUCUGGUCAGAUGAUAUUUCACAGAUUUAUGGCCCUUUGAAAUUGUCUAUGAAAAAUUAUUGUCCCCUUCCCCCAACUACUGUGCCCUCAAAACGUUUCCUUUUAUCUGAAUAUAUAGUGCAAUAUUGUGACAAAAAACAACUUUGGGGAGCAUCAACCGUCUCCGACGGUUUCUUGUUUUUAAAUAACAUGUAUUUAAUAAAUCACCAUAAUAACUUUAUAUAUGAGUCGCGCUCUGAGAAAAUGGGGUUUAAUGCAUGUGCGUAAAGUGUCGUCCCAGAUUUGCCUGUGCAGUCUACACAGGCCAAUCAGGGACGACACUUUCAGCAUGUAUUAUAUGUUUCGUUUUAAGAAAGACUCUUCUUAGCAAAAAUCCAGUUUAGGCAGAAAAUUGUCCCUGAUUAGCCUGUGCGGAAUGCACAUGUUAAUCUGGUAUGACACUUUAUGCACAUGCAUUAAACCCCCUUUUCACAGAGCGGGACUCAUAUGUAAGUAUGCCCAAUGUUUUCAUUUUGGUAUUUUGCGAAAUUACUUCUAUCUAACGAUCAAUAUUCAUUAAUAAAUAUGGACAAUCGAUCUUUAUGAGCUGUCAUACAUACAAACAUGUACAUUCAAUGACAAAAAGAUAUUUUGAUUUAUGCAUUUAUUACAAUUUGAAAUGUAUCUGUAACCAAGUAACUAAAUAAAUAACGAUAUUUAUGUCACAUAAUUAAUUUGUGAUAAUGAUAACGUUGUUAAACCUUAUUUAUUUUAUGUGUUUUGUAACAUUGACACACCUACACGAAUAAAUGUGCUAACUUUA